UGAAAAACUUGCUGAUCUCGAGGCUGCUCCUUCUGCAAUGGCUCGUCUCUUUUCAAUUGACUGGUACAGAAACCGCAUUGAUGGUAAGCAAGAAGUCAUGAUUGGGUACUCGGAUUCAGGGAAGGAUGCUGGUCGUCUAUCUGCAGCUUGGCAGCUAUAUAAGGCUCAAGAAGAACUCAUCCAAGUGGCAAAACAGUAUGGAGUUAAGCUCACAAUGUUCCAUGGCCGAGGAGGAACUGUUGGCAGAGGAGGAGGGCCGACCCACCUUGCUAUAUUAUCUCAG
Molecule: unclassified non-coding RNA, 283 nt
Filed under: Hevea brasiliensis (rubber tree)
Lineage: Eukaryota; Viridiplantae; Streptophyta; Magnoliopsida; Malpighiales; Euphorbiaceae
Source: RNAcentral